This 365-nucleotide ribosomal RNA is filed under the name uncultured Hypotrichia. Its description in RNAcentral is "partial small subunit ribosomal RNA". It matches the Rfam family "Eukaryotic small subunit ribosomal RNA", at positions 30 to 432 of the family's 1831-position model. The record is from RNAcentral. Lineage: Eukaryota; Ciliophora; Spirotrichea.
GCUUGUCUCAAAGAUUAAGCCAUGCAUGUCUAAGUAUAAAUAACUACACAGUAAAACUGCGAAUGGCUCAUUAAAACAGUUAUAGUUUAUUUGAUACAUUUUAAAUGGAUAACUGUAGAAACACUAGAGCUAAUACAUGCUAAGACCGUAAGGUUGUAUUUAUUAGAUAUACCGAGUAGGUGAAUCAUAAUAACUGAUCGAAUCGCAAAGCCUUUGGCUGCGAUAUGUCAUUCAAGUUUCUGCCCCAUCAGCUUUCGAUGGUAGUGUAUUGGACUACCAUGGCUUUUACGGGUAACGGAGAAUUAGGGUUCGAUUCCGGAGAGGGAGCCUGAGAAACGGCUACCACAUCUAAGGAAGGCAGCAGG